GCGUUCAUUGUCUAAUGGAUAAGACAGAGAUCUUCUAAAUCUUUGGUGUAGCUUCAAAUCCUAUUGGACGCA
Non-coding RNA from Solanum tuberosum (potato), 72 nucleotides. The record is from Rfam. NCBI's taxonomy places the organism in Eukaryota, Viridiplantae, Streptophyta, Magnoliopsida, Solanales, Solanaceae.